AGCUCUGUGCUCAGUCUGGAUCACAACUAGAUCAUAGUGGCCAACAUCUUGACUGUUUCUCAGUGGUGCUACUCAGAGAGUAAUCCAAAUAACGACUACAUUUCAAUAGGAUUUCCUCUGAUGUGCAGCUGAAACCGAAAUUUCCUGCUCAAAGCUACAAAAUGAAUCCAUGAUAGAGGUGGGAUGAACCAAGGUCUCUCAAAAAGUACAUUAUCAGUCCAAUGGAAUGCACUGGCUUUCAGAGGUUUCACAUAGAUGUUAAAAAGCAUUGAAGAUAGUAUGAAGCCUUGUGGGAUGCCAUACAGAAACUCUUGUUUUGAAGAGCAACAGUCUCCAAGUGACACCAUCUGGAAUUUGCCGAAGAUGUAGGAGCGGAACCACUGCAAAAUAGUGCCUCCCACUCCCAACUCCCUCAGACGAUCCAGAAGGAUAUGUGGGUGAUUACCCCACCCAUCUACUCAGCACAAUGAGGCUACGGCGGGAUCCCUGUGGGCUCUGCAAUCUGCUUCUGGAUGUGAGUGUGGAGGAAGCACAACACUUGCCUUUUUCUGAGAUACUCUUUGUGCUGUGCUCCAGCUUUAGAGCUGAAGAACUGAAACAAGCACAUGGAUGAGCUGCCAUACAGACACUAAACUCAGCUGUGCAAUCCCUUGCAUGGUGCUGGAAGUGCAAUCUUCAUGCAGAAGGAAGCAAGUAUGGGGUGUGCCAUCUAUGGAUAGAGGAUGCAGAGGAGAAGUGGUACACAACUUUUCCUGGACUCCAAAUAGCUGAUGAGUACAGACUGUGGUACUGCUGUCCUCAUGCUGGUGAGCAGCUUGCAAAGAUUAUGGCACAUUCACAACAGUGAUUUCCAGGACACCAUAUUGGUUUGGACAGGUGAACUUCACUAUAGGAUUUCAUGGGCCUUACGGAUCGGUUUGUAUAUGCAAAUUCCAAACAGGAAAGCACAUGCACUCAAAGCAGGACAGCUGCAAAAACAGUCUCUGCUUUGAAUGUCAUUCAGUAGCAAGUGGCU
This is a long non-coding RNA of Hemicordylus capensis (graceful crag lizard), 1015 nucleotides long. RefSeq lists it as uncharacterized. The transcript has 3 exons. The record is from RefSeq and is a predicted model, not a curated record. Lineage: Eukaryota; Metazoa; Chordata; Lepidosauria; Squamata; Cordylidae.